Molecule: ribosomal RNA, 1060 nt
Filed under: uncultured Bacteroidales bacterium
Lineage: Bacteria; Pseudomonadati; Bacteroidota; Bacteroidia; Bacteroidales
Description: bacterial SSU rRNA
Rfam family: Bacterial small subunit ribosomal RNA
Source: RNAcentral
AACGCUAGCUACAGGCUUAACACAUGCAAGUCGAGGGGCAGCACGGGGGUAGCAAUACUCCGGGUGGCGACCGGCGCACGGGUGCGUAACGCGUAUCCAACCUUCCCAUUACUCUUGGAUAGCCUUCCGAAAGGGAGAUUAAUACAGGAUGGUAUCUGAAUUCCGCAUGUUAAUCAGAUUAAAGAUUUAUCGGUAAUGGAUGGGGAUGCGUGACAUUAGGUAGAUGGCGGGGUAACGGCCCACCAUGCCUACGAUGUCUAGGGGUUCUGAGAGGAAGGUCCCCCACACUGGAACUGAGACACGGUCCAGACUCCUACGGGAGGCAGCAGUGAGGAAUAUUGGUCAAUGGUCGGAAGACUGAACCAGCCAAGUAGCGUGAAGGAUGAAGGUUCUAUGGAUUGUAAACUUCUUUUAUACGGGAAUAAAACACGCUACGUGUGGCGUCUUGUAUGUACCGUAUGAAUAAGCAUCGGCUAACUCCGUGCCAGCAGCCGCGGUAAUACGGAGGAUGCGAGCGUUAUCCGGAUUUAUUGGGUUUAAAGGGAGCGUAGACGGGAGAUUAAGUCAGCUGUGAAAGUUUGGGGCUCAACCUUAAAAUUGCAGUUGAUACUGGUUUUCUUGAGUGCGGUUGAGGUGUGUGGAAUUCGUGGUGUAGCGGUGAAAUGCUUAGAUAUCACGAAGAACUCCGAUUGCGAAGGCAGCACACUAAGCCGCAACUGACGUUGAUGCUCGAAAGUGUGGGUAUCAAACAGGAUUAGAUACCCUGGUAGUCCACACGGUAAACGAUGAAUACUCGCUGUUGGCGAUAUAUGGUCAGCGGCCAAGCGAAAGCAUUAAGUAUUCCACCUGGGGAGUACGCCGGCAACGGUGAAACUCAAAGGAAUUGACGGGGGCCCGCACAAGCGGAGGAACAUGUGGUUUAAUUCGAUGAUACGCGAGGAACCUUACCCGGGCUUGAAUUGCUGAGGAAAGAUCCAGAGAUGGUGAUGCCCUUCGGGGCCUCAGUGAAGGUGCUGCAUGGUUGUCGUCAGCUCGUGCCGUAAGGUGUCGGCUUAAGUGC